This is a long non-coding RNA of Cavia porcellus (domestic guinea pig), 447 nucleotides long. RefSeq lists it as uncharacterized. NCBI's taxonomy places the organism in Eukaryota, Metazoa, Chordata, Mammalia, Rodentia, Caviidae. The record is from RefSeq and is a predicted model, not a curated record. The transcript has 2 exons.
UAGGAAGGCAGUGGAACAUUUCAGAUGGAAAGAAGCAAUGUUGGCUGGGGAACAGUCUCAGUGGUUCAAGUCCUUCCCUGACAGCACAAGCAGAAACCGCUGAUGUGGAAUGGAAGAUGGUUUGCAAGAGUAUUUUAUGCCUCCAGCGUCCUCAGGUCUCCUUCCCAUGUUAUAACAUAGUUCAUGGGAGCUUGGAUCAUCUAGACAAACAGGUUGGCCCUCCAGUGUAUGCAGAGUCAUGGUAAUUAAACCGGAUGUGCAUGAAAUGGCAAGUGUAUUGAAAGGUUUUGGAAGAUAUGUGCUGUUACGGUUUGUAUGGCGGUUAAUUGAUUGUGACAGUCUGAGAUAUUUUAGAAGCUUAACUAAGUUAGCUCAGCAAUUCUACACUCUAGAAUGCAGAGGAGUUGCCCUAGGGCAGCUCAUUGCCUGAAAGGUUUAAAAGGGAAA